UACGAAGGGGGCUAGCGUUGCUCGGAAUUACUGGGCGUAAAGGGCGCGUAGGCGGAUGUUUAAGUCGGGGGUGAAAGCCCGGGGCUCAACCUCGGAAUUGCCUUCGAUACUGGACAUCUUGAGUACGGGAGAGGUGAGUGGAACUCCGAGUGCAGAGGUGAAAUUCGUAGAUAUUCGGAAGAACACCAGUGGCGAAGGCGACUCACUGGCCCGUUACUGACGCUGAGGCGCGAAAGCGUGGGGAGCGAACAGG
This 253-nucleotide ribosomal RNA is filed under the name uncultured bacterium. Its description in RNAcentral is "partial 16S ribosomal RNA". It matches the Rfam family "Bacterial small subunit ribosomal RNA", at positions 524 to 776 of the family's 1533-position model. The record is from RNAcentral.